This 479-nucleotide ribosomal RNA is filed under the name Bifidobacterium pseudolongum subsp. pseudolongum. Its description in RNAcentral is "bacterial SSU rRNA". It matches the Rfam family "Bacterial small subunit ribosomal RNA", at positions 44 to 520 of the family's 1533-position model. Lineage: Bacteria; Bacillati; Actinomycetota; Actinomycetes; Bifidobacteriales; Bifidobacteriaceae. The record is from RNAcentral.
GUGCUUACACAUGCAAGUCGACGGGAUCCCUGGCAGCUUGCUGCCGGGGUGAGAGUGGCGAACGGGUGAGUAAUGCGUGACCGACCUGCCCCAUGCACCGGAAUAGCUCCUGGAAACGGGUGGUAAUGCCGGAUGUUCCACAUGAGCGCAUGCGAGUGUGGGAAAGGCUUUUUGCGGCAUGGGAUGGGGUCGCGUCCUAUCAGCUUGUUGGUGGGGUAACGGCCUACCAAGGCGUUGACGGGUAGCCGGCCUGAGAGGGCGACCGGCCACAUUGGGACUGAGAUACGGCCCAGACUCCUACGGGAGGCAGCAGUGGGGAAUAUUGCACAAUGGGCGCAAGCCUGAUGCAGCGACGCCGCGUGCGGGAUGGAGGCCUUCGGGUUGUAAACCGCUUUUGUUCAAGGGCAAGGCACGGUCUUUGGCCGUGUUGAGUGGAUUGUUCGAAUAAGCACCGGCUAACUACGUGCCAGCAGCCGCGG